RNAcentral lists this ribosomal RNA (952 nucleotides) under uncultured organism. RNAcentral describes it as "bacterial SSU rRNA". It matches the Rfam family "Bacterial small subunit ribosomal RNA", at positions 431 to 1407 of the family's 1533-position model. The record is from RNAcentral.
CCCUUUUCUGGGGGAAGAGAAAGGACGGUACCCCAGGAAUAAGCCCCGGCUAACUACGUGCCAGUAGCCGCGGCUAAAACGUAUGGAGUCAAGCGUUAUCCGGAUUUACUGGGCUUACAGAGCGUUGAGGCGGUUUUGUAAGUUGGGCUGUGAAAGCCCUGGGCUUAACUCAGGGAAGCCGUUCAGUACUGCGAAACUUGAGGUCAACAGAGGGACGUGGAAUUCCCGGAGUAGCGGUGAAAUGCGUAGAUAUCGGGAGGAACACCAGUGGCGAAGCCGGCCUCCUGGCAUGCUCUUGACGCUGAAGGCGAAAGUUAGGGGAGCAAACGGCAUUAGAAACCCCGGUAGUCCUAGCCGUAAACGAUGGAUGCUAGUUCUGGAGGCUGUAGAUUCCCUCCGUGCCGCAGCUAACGCGUUAAGCAUCCCGCCUGGGGAGUACGUCCGCAAGGCUAAAACUCAAACGAAUUGACGGGGGCCCGCACAAGCAGCGGAGCGCGUGGUAUAAUUAGAUGCUACACGUAGUACCUUACCUGGGCUUGACAUACAGGUAGUAAUGAAAUGAAAACGGAUCGACCCUUCGGGGAGCCUGUACAGGUGCUGCAUGUCUGUCGUCAGCUCGUGCCGUGAGGUGUCGGAUUAAGUCCAGUAACGAGCGCAACCCUUGCUCUUAGUUAUACGUGUCUAAGAGGACUGCCGUCGGUAAGCCGGAGGAAGGUGGGGAUGACGUCAAGUCAGCAUGACCUUUAUGUCCAGGGCUACACACACGCUACAAUGGCCGGUACAAUGGGUGGAUAAACCGCGAGGUGGAGCCAAUCCUGUAAAGCCGGUCUCAGUUCGAAUUGCAGGCUGCAACUCGCAUGCAUGAAGUCGGAGUUGCUAGUAAUCGCAGGUCAGCAAUUCUGCGCGUGAAUACGUUCACCGGGCGUUGUACACACCGCCCGUCACGUCAUGG